AAAAAUAUGUCAAUUUCCCAAGUUUUUGGGUUUUUAGUUAAUUUGCGCAAAUUUUCCCAUUCUUCCUCUUCCUAUUCACCUUUUCAUCGUGAAUCUGCAAGCCGCCGAUGGAGAGAGGAUGCUCGCCGGUGGAAAAGCUGUAGGCGAACUCCACCAUGGAAUUCCAGUGAUGCUCAAGGACACUAUUGCGACUAAGGGUCGGCAAUACCACCGCCGAAUCCUUCGCGUUGCUGGGUUCGGUGGUGGCUCGAGAUGCGACGAUGGUCAGUCGCCCGAGGAACGCCGGCGCGGUGAUUUUGGGGAAAACUUCGCUUAGGGAGUGGUAUCGGUCUCGUUCUUGGAAGCUUCCCCAUGGAUGGUGUGCUCAUGGUGGUCGACCGCGGGGGAAGAAGGGAGAGGAAGCGGUUUGAGGAUUGGGUAAAGGAAGAAGAUAAUGGUGGAAAUGUUGAUGAGAAGCAUGUUGAAGUGAAUGAAUACAAGUCCAAGGGAGACGUCGGGGAUGGGAAAGUUCAGUUUGGAGGCACCAUUGAUGAAAAAUAAGGUCACUGGGGAAUGUAAGUUCCAUUUUGCAUAUGCUGCAUUUUAUUGUAAUGAAUGUGAUUAUGGAAUUGCCAUUUCCAUCUUCAAUUUGAUGCAACUUUUUCCCUUGUAUUCUGUCAAUAUUAUGCUGAUUGUUUGACAUUGAUAUAGUCAAAUAUACAUUGGUUUGACCUGCAACCCCAAGAAGUUAAUGAGAAGGCAGAGCAUUUUAUCUGAAAGAGUAAAGGUGGCUUUUGUUGUUAGUGAUUCUAUUGAUAUAUACUUUCCUUCUAAAGAAUUCAAUCUGCAUUACCUUUGUCUAUCUAACUGUUUAUCGUUAGGCUUGUGUCUGUUGGAAACUUAGAAGCUGUUAUUAGUUAUUGCUUCUAGAACACUUCGUCGCUUUGAUUUGUCCCUCAUAAAAAAGAAGUAUACUGCUUCUUGAACUUGCGGUUAAGGUCGUGGAGGGAAAUGUACAAAGAGAUAGUAAAAAGUCCUAUGGUUUAAGCCGAUAGAUUUAUCCUUUCAUAUUCUGUCUGGUACCACUGCCACCUGCAGAUAAAGAGAUGUAUUCUGCUUCGGUGGUAGAAACAGCAACAACAGGUUGUUUAUUUGAAGUCCAUGAAAAAACAUCCGAACCAAUGCUAAAAACAUAAUUAGAUGUGCUUCUAUGAUCAUCAACAUUACCACCCCAAUUACUAUCACAAAAACCAACUAACACUGAUUCUGAAACUUUCUUGUAAUAAAUUCCAAAAUUAAUAGUGCCAAGAAUAUAACGAAGCACUCGCUUACCUGCUUCCCAAUGAUUUCUUUUUGGGCUUGACAUGAAUCUGCUUAACAUAUUUACAGCAAAUAGAAUCUCAGGUCUUGUUGCAGUCAAGUACAUCAAGCUUCCAACUAAGCUUCGGUAUAAGCUUGGAUCAACAUCUUCUCCAAUAUCAUUCUUGCUCAAUUUCAAAUUUGCAUCCAUGGGCGUGUUACAAGGAAAAAUGUUUUCCAUUUUGAAUUUUUUUCAGCAAAUCACGAGCAUACUUUUGUUGUGAGAUGACAAUCUCUCCAUCUUUUUGAUUGACUUUAAUUCCCAAAAAUAAUGGAUGAGACCCAUAUCACUCAUCUCAAAUUCUCUUUUCAUGAAAUUCUUAAAAUCAUCACUCAAUAGUUUAUCAUUUCUAGUAAAAAGCAAAUCAUCGACAUAUAAUGAAACAAUAAGAAGUUUGCCACACUUAUCUUCUUUGACAUAUCAUCGACAUAUAAUGAAACAAUAAGAAGUUUGCCAUACUUAUCUUCUUUGACAUAGAGUGCAUGCUCACAUGGACACCUUUGAAAACCUGUCUUUAUAAAAAAGCUGUCAAUGUGACUAUACCAAGCUCACGAAGCUUGCUUCAAUCCAUACAAGGCCUUUUUCAACUUGUACAUUUUGUCUUCUCCUUUUUUCACAUAACCCAAAGGUUGUUCAACGAAUAUCUCCUCCUUCAAGUGUCCAUUCAAGAAAGCGGAUUUUACAUCCAUUUGAUAAACUCUCCACUCAUUUUGAGCAGCCAAAGACAAAAUCAAUUGAACUGUCUCAAUUCUUGUCACAGGAGCAAAGAUCUCUUCAUAAUUCACACCAUAUUCCUGCUUGUAGCCUUUUACAACAAGUCUUGCCUUGUAUUUUUCAACUUUGUCAUUUGACUUCAGUUUUGUUUUGUACACCCAUUUUAUACCAAGAACUUGUUUGUUUACUGGAAGAUCCAUCAACUUCCAUGUUUCAUUUCUUUUUAUUGCAUCAAUUUCUUGAUCCAUUGCAAUCUUCCAUUUUUCAUCUUGGAUCGCCUCAUCAAAAUUUAUAGGAUCAACACUGGAAAAUAAUGCAAAAUCAGCCACAUCAUCAUCAAUUCUGCUAGUAGCAUUAUAAAUUUCUUGAAUAUUUCUCAUUCUCCUUGGUAACAUAUCAUCAUCACUUGUGGAAGAUGGCGAUGCAGAUAAAGAUGACGCCACUGCCUGACUCUACUUGCUCUAAGUCUUGAGCAUCUCCAUUCCUUUCCAUGCUAACAUGAUAUGGACUUUCUGCUUCUCCAACGACAUCCCAGUUCUAGGAUUCAUCUUCAUUGAAAAUCACAUCCCGACUGAUAAUAAUCUUUUUCGACAAAGGAUUAUACAAUCGAUAAGCUUUAGAAUUUUCACUAUAGCCUACCAUGAUACAUUUUUCUGAUUUAUCAUCUAAUUUGCCUCUCAGCUUAUCUGGUAUAUGAGAGUUUAUUUGCCCCUUAGCUUAUGGGAGUAUAUUAAUUUUGGAAUUUAUUACAAGAAAGUUCCAGAAUCAGUGUUAGUUGGAUUUUGUGAUAAUGAUUGGGGUGGUAAUGUUGAUGAUCAUAAAAACACAUCUGGUUAUGUUUUUAGCAUUGGUUCGGGUGUUUUUUCAUGGACUUCAAAGAAACAACCUAUUGUUGCUCUUUCUACCACUGAAGCAGAAUACAUCUCUUUAUCUGGAGCUGGAUGUCAAGCUUUAUGGCUUAGAUGGAUGUUGAAAGAAUUGAGGUGUACGCAAAGAAGUUAGAAUACUUUAUAUUGUGAUAAUGGUUCUGCCAUUGCAUUAUAAAAAAAUCCAGUCUUCCAUGGAAGAAGCAUGCAUAUUAGAAUCAAGUAUCAUUUUAUCAGAGACUUGGUUAAAGAUGGAGAAGUGAUGGUGAAACAUUGCAAGACUCAAGAUCAGGUGGCGGAUAUUUUUACGAAGGCACUGAAGUUUGACUUAUUUGUUAAGUUCAGAGAAAAGCUUGGAGUUGCUCAAGUCUAGAUUAAGGGAGGAUGAUAGAAUUAAUCUAGACUUAUAUUCAAGGUGCAUGAAUUACAUUUAAUUAGAUACAUGAAUAGUUGAAUACAUGAAUUACAAGAUAUAUUGAUGAAUGUUCAUGUAUUGGUGAAAAGUCACAUGUAUUUGCAUUUAUCAUUGAUGUCUUUUGAUGUCUUUUAUUUUCUUACUAGUAUAAAUAUGUGUAGGAUUUGUCAUUUGUAAGCAAGGCAGGAAAAUAAAGUAAUAUUCAAAUUCUAGUUUCUCCAAUCUUGUGUGAGUAAGAGAACAAUCUUUUCUCUUAUCUAUUGAGUUGUAUUGUGAGGGCCUACUUCGUUGAUUUGUCAUUUGUAAGCAAGCCAAGAAAAUAAAGUAAUAUUCAAGUUCUAGUUAAAUGUAAUUCAUGUAUCUUGAAUAUGAGUCUAGAUUAAUUCUAUCACAAAAUAAGAAGCACGGACACUUUAAUUUGGCUAGCGUGUUCGUGUUGGACACUUAAACACUCUGACACUUGUUAGUGCAAUAGAUAUGUUGGACACUAGUUGUACAAAGCCAAACUAGAACCAACAUUUAGUAGACAUGCAUCAAACUCUUACAAAGUCAACACAUAUAUCACAAAAAUAAUAAAAUUUGAGAGCGAACUACAUCGAAUUAAUUUUUUAAGCAUAGAAAUAAACAAACUCAUUAACUUUAAAUUUCCUUGUUUAAAAAUGAUAUAUAUAUGUUAAAAAAUAUAUAUUUUAAUAAAUGUGUCCUUGGUGUGUCCAUGUCCUAAAUUUUAGAAAAAUGAUGUGUCACCGUGUCAGUGUCGUGUCGUAUUCGUAUCUCGUAUUUGUAUCCAUGCUUCUUAGGCUACAAAGUUUUUGGGUAACUCAUUUUGCAUUUGAGUUGGAUUUUCAUUUAUUUUUCAAGAAAGACAAUUGCAAAACAUGCAAAAAAAUGUUGGAUGAGAGUCUGAAAGACGUGGAAUCAGAAGGCAAUUGUAAAAAUGUUGUUGGGUUUUGGCUAAAUAUUAAAAGUGUAAUUGUCCAAUAUCGAAAAUGUUCAAGAAAGUGAUGGAGCUUCAAGCAUUAUAAAAGGAGCUUAUGCAUUUGGUUUGAAAUCGUUUCAGUUAGAAACAUUUUAAAUUUAGGUGUGCUAACUUACUUAAUUCUCUUUUUGUAUUCUCUACUUUGAGAGUGAGAUUAGAGAGUGAGUGGUACAAAAGCUUUGAGAGAAUGCUCUUGUAAUUCGGUCGGGAGAAAGAAUAAUUCUGUGUGAUUGUAACAAUUUUUUACAUAUUGGAUUUCUUUCUGGUGGGCAGUGGUUUUCCCGACAAAUGUUUAGGCACUUUAGGGAGUUGUCCAAAUGUGAGCUCCCCACUAUCAAGAAUCUGUCAUUUUGCAAAUCGCUUCCAUCCCUAAUGGUGGCUACAAAUCAGUACUGUGAGUUUCCAACAAUGUGAAAUAACUAGAGCUCUGUUACGACGAACUUGGAUUUUAUUUGAAUACAUGGGAUACAAUAAUUGUGUUGAAUAAGUGUCGAGUGGGCCAUUUUGAGAAAUGGGAUUCAGAAACACAUAUCUCAAAAGUUCAAAAUUUUCGAAAAUGUGAUUUUGAUGAUUUAUAAACACAUACUUCAGUUUUAUUUGUCUUUUUAUGAGAACCACCCCCGUUUCUUUUUUUGUUCAUAUCUCCAACUUUUUUGUUCUUGAUUGUAGUUUCUGGAGGGACGUUGGUCCCAUUUGUUAUAGAACUGUGCUACAUUAUUUGUGCAGAUGUGUAUUCUUAGUAGAGGUAAUGCUGAAAUUUUACUUGAUAUAUGGUUGAUGUAUAAA
This is a non-coding RNA of Benincasa hispida (wax gourd), 5099 nucleotides long. Lineage: Eukaryota; Viridiplantae; Streptophyta; Magnoliopsida; Cucurbitales; Cucurbitaceae. The record is from RefSeq and is a predicted model, not a curated record.